GGACUUUUCGUGAGUUGUUCAUUGCGUGAUUUGAAUUGAAGGAACACAAAAUUGAUAGGCCGGAUUAGACAUAAGAUAAGUACAUAUGUUUUAGUGAUAAGUUAGUAAACAAGGACGGAUCUGGCCGGAGAAGAACUGUCAAGAAAACACAAGGGGUCGGACACGUGGUGGCAGAAGGACCGGUGGAAACUACUGAUUUCUCAUCAGGUAAUGAGUCGGAGGAGGAUGCACGAGCGUUCCCCUCUUUAAGGCACGACCCGUUACACCAAAAAUUUGAAAUUGCAAAUAAUUCCAUUGAUUUCACUCCGUCACAAGAAUCUAGCAUUCAUGACACAGUGGGGGAACACGUGCCUUUUAAAAUUAAGGAAAAAAUUUGGGAGGGAAAGUUUAUUGAGCUUCAUUCUCUUUUGAGAACGCAAAAAGCAAUGGAAGAGGUGGACGAGGGCGAUUUGAAAUUAAAAAGGGGGAAAAUUUU
Molecule: long non-coding RNA, 475 nt
Filed under: Mytilus galloprovincialis (Mediterranean mussel)
Lineage: Eukaryota; Metazoa; Mollusca; Bivalvia; Mytilida; Mytilidae
Source: RNAcentral